CACUGUUCAAUCAAUUCAAGAAAGCAUCCUAAAGUUCAUGUUCUCCGGAGCCUAAAUAUGCCGGAUUUGUACUAUAUGAAUGUAUUUUAAUAAUAAUUAUUUUAGAACUUGGUAUAUCAAUGUCAAUUCAUAAAAAUGAUGUAGAGGCAGUGGCAGAUUGUCGAAGGAGAGUAAUCUUACUUCAGGCUUCUUUGAGCUGUAUUGAAGUGUGUGGAUUAGACAAAUCUCCUUUA
Ctenocephalides felis (cat flea) is the source of this 233-nucleotide long non-coding RNA. RefSeq lists it as uncharacterized. NCBI's taxonomy places the organism in Eukaryota, Metazoa, Arthropoda, Insecta, Siphonaptera, Pulicidae. The transcript is spliced from 2 exons. The record is from RefSeq and is a predicted model, not a curated record.